RNAcentral lists this ribosomal RNA (810 nucleotides) under uncultured bacterium. RNAcentral's name for it is "bacterial SSU rRNA". It matches the Rfam family "Bacterial small subunit ribosomal RNA", at positions 8 to 796 of the family's 1533-position model. The record is from RNAcentral.
AGAGUUUGAUCCUGGCUCAGAGCGAACNNNNGGCGUGCCUAACACAUGCAAGUCGAGCGAGAAAGGGGGCUUCGGCCCCUGAGUACAGCGGCGAACGGGUGCGUAACACGUGGGUGAUCUGUCCUUGAGGCGGGGAUAACCCAGCGAAAGUUGGGCUAAUACCGGAUAAGACCACGAGAGGAAACUCUCGGGGUCGAAGGGUGCUCUCUUCGGGGAGCAUUCGCUUGAGGAGGAGCCCGCGGCCUAUCAGCUUGUUGGUAGGGUAACGGCCUACCAAGGCAAAGACGGGUAGCUGGUCUGAGAGGAUGACCAGCCACACGGGGACUGAGACACGGCCCCGACUCCUACGGGAGGCAGCAGUGGGGAAUAUUGGGCAAUGGGGGAAACCCUGACCCAGCGACGCCGCGUGGGUGAUGAAGGCCUUCGGGUCGUAAAGCCCUGUCGGGAGGAACGAAUGAUCUCACGGCGAAUAGCCGUGAGGUGUGACGGUACCUCCGAAGGAAGCACCGGCCAACUCCGUGCCAGCAGCCGCGGUAAGACGGAGGGUGCAAGCGUUGCUCGGAAUCACUGGGCGUAAAGGGUGCGUAGGCGGUCUCUCAAGUCUGGCGUGAAAGCCCAGGGCUCAGCCCUGGAAGUGCGCUAGAAACUGAGAGGCUUGAGUGCCGGAGGGGAGAGUGGAAUUCCCGGUGUAGCGGUGAAAUGCGUAGAUAUCGGGAGGAAUACCGGUGGCGAAAGCGGCGCGCUGGACCACUACUGACGCUGAGGAACGAAAGCUAGGGGAGCAAACAGGAUUAGAUACCCUAGUAGUCC